GGGGGAUAUUGCACAAUGGAGGAAACUCUGAUGCAGCAACGCCGCGUGAGGGAAGACGGUUUUCGGAUUGUAAACCUCUGUCCUUGGUGACGAUAAUGACGGUAGCCAAGGAGGAAGCUCCGGCUAACUACGUGCCAGCAGCCGCGGUAAUACGUAGGGAGCAAGCGUUGUCCGGAUUUACUGGGUGUAAAGGGUGCGUAGGCGGCUCUGCAAGUCAGGUGUGAAAACCAUGGGCUUAACUCAUGGAUUGCAUUUGAAACUGUGGAGCUUGAGUGAAGUAGAGGCAGGCGGAAUUCCCGGUGUAGCGGUGAAAUGCGUAGAGAUCGGGAGGAACACCAGUGGCGAAGGCGGCCUGCUGGGCUUUAACUGACGCUGAGGCACGAAAGCAUGGGUAGCAAAC
RNAcentral lists this ribosomal RNA (400 nucleotides) under uncultured bacterium. RNAcentral describes it as "bacterial SSU rRNA". It matches the Rfam family "Bacterial small subunit ribosomal RNA", at positions 356 to 773 of the family's 1533-position model. The record is from RNAcentral.